GUAAUAGCUCACUGGUCGAGUCGGCCUGCGCGGAAGAUGUAACGGGGCUAAACCAUGCACCGAAGCUGCGGCAGCGAACGUAUCACUUAAAGCGAUUCAGCGGAUUACGAUUGACGGAGCGAAGCGACGUCAAAGCGUAUACAAAGUCGAGUCGGUUUAAGGAUACGUUCGUUGGGUAGGGGAGCGUUCUGUAAGCCUGUGAAGGUGGCCUGUGAGGGUUGCUGGAGGUAUCAGAAGUGCGAAUGCUGACAUAAGUAACGAUAAAGCGGGUGAAAAGCCCGCUCGCCGGAAGACCAAGGGUUCCUGUCCAACGUUAAUCGGGGCAGGGUGAGUCGACCCCUAAGGCGAGGCCGAAAGGCGUAGUCGAUGGGAAACGGGUUAAUAUUCCCGUACUUGGUGUUACUGCGAAGGGGGGACGGAGAAGGCUAUGUUGGCCGGGCGACGGUUGUCCCGGUUUAAGCGUGUAGGCUGGUUUUCCAGGCAAAUCCGGAAAAUCAAGGCUGAGGCGUGAUGACGAGGCACUACGGUGCUGAAGCAACAAAUGCCCUGCUUCCAGGAAAAGCCUCUAAGCAUCAGGUAACAUCAAAUC
This 589-nucleotide ribosomal RNA is filed under the name Salmonella enterica. Its description in RNAcentral is "partial 23S ribosomal RNA". It matches the Rfam family "Bacterial large subunit ribosomal RNA", at positions 1134 to 1643 of the family's 2925-position model. The record is from RNAcentral. RNAcentral also lists the same sequence under 2 other names. Lineage: Bacteria; Pseudomonadati; Pseudomonadota; Gammaproteobacteria; Enterobacterales; Enterobacteriaceae.